CCACUCAUCAUAUACCAACUUCCA
This 24-nucleotide non-coding RNA is filed under the name Arabidopsis thaliana (thale cress). Lineage: Eukaryota; Viridiplantae; Streptophyta; Magnoliopsida; Brassicales; Brassicaceae. The record is from RNAcentral.